Molecule: transfer RNA, 83 nt
Organism: Sphaerobolus stellatus SS14
Lineage: Eukaryota; Fungi; Basidiomycota; Agaricomycetes; Geastrales; Sphaerobolaceae
Rfam family: tRNA
About the family: Transfer RNA (tRNA) molecules are approximately 80 nucleotides in length. Their secondary structure includes four short double-helical elements and three loops (D, anti-codon, and T loops).
Source: Rfam
GGCGAUAUGGCCGAGUUGGUAUAAGGCGUGAGAGUAAGGAUCUCACAUCUUUGGGGGCGUGGGUUCAAAUAUCACUGUUAUCA